UCUUGAAUGUGAAUACCUUCUCCUUUUCUUUUUCUUUCUUCUUUUUUUUUGUGCGUCAGCAACAAACAAAAGUAAAGGGGAGCAGGGAACAACGAGUGGCUGUGCGCUACGCGGUCCGGUGAUUAAAAAAAAAUCUUAAGCAAUGAACUGCUUUUCCCUUUUUAUU
RNAcentral lists this non-coding RNA (166 nucleotides) under Heterosigma akashiwo. Lineage: Eukaryota; Raphidophyceae; Chattonellales; Chattonellaceae. The record is from RNAcentral.